Molecule: transfer RNA, 75 nt
Filed under: Demequina litorisediminis
Lineage: Bacteria; Bacillati; Actinomycetota; Actinomycetes; Micrococcales; Demequinaceae
Description: tRNA-Gly
Source: RNAcentral
GACGUCCUUGGCCUUUCCCUUGAGGUGCGCGGCCUUCCCGCGGCCGUGGGCGACGUGCUGAGCGUCGCGAUGCCA